GACGAACGCUGGCGGCGUGCCUAAUACAUGCAAGUCGAACGCUGAAGGAGGAGCUUGCUUCUCCGGAUGAGUUGCGAACGGGUGAGUAACGCGUAGGUAACCUGCCUGGUAGCGGGGGAUAACUAUUGGAAACGAUAGCUAAUACCGCAUAACAGUAGAUGUUGCAUGACAUUUGCUUAAAAGUUGCAAUUGCAUCACUACCAGAUGGACCUGCGUUGUAUUAGCUAGUUGGUGAGGUAACGGCUCACCAAGGCGACGAUACAUAGCCGACAGGGGAGGGGGGGCGGCCGGACUGGGAGGGUGACAGGGCACAGAGGGACUGGGGAGGCAGCAGGAGGGAGUCGUGGGGAAGGGGUGGAAGGCUGAGCGCGCAAGGCGGAGGGAGGGUAGAAGGGUUUCGGAUCGGAGAGGUCGGUUGUAAGGGAAGAAAGAGUGUGAGAGUGGAAAGUUCAGAGUGUGACGGUAGCUGACCAGAAAGGGACGGCUAACUACGUG
Molecule: ribosomal RNA, 495 nt
Filed under: uncultured bacterium
Lineage: Bacteria
Description: partial 16S ribosomal RNA
Rfam family: Bacterial small subunit ribosomal RNA
Source: RNAcentral